Molecule: long non-coding RNA, 572 nt
Filed under: Carica papaya (papaya)
Lineage: Eukaryota; Viridiplantae; Streptophyta; Magnoliopsida; Brassicales; Caricaceae
Description: long non-coding RNA (CPAP_LNC016525)
Source: RNAcentral
UAGAAAGAAAAUAAAAUAAUAUGAAGAUUGAAAGAAGUGAAAAUUUAGAGAUAACCCAUUUAAAAUUGGUAUGGUUGAACUUUAGUAGUGUGGUGAACCCUAUCCUUGAGUGGAUAGAAACUCUUCCAGAGGUGGUUGGGAUCUGUAUUCUGUUUUGGGUCACCUGGUGAUGGACUACUAUGACCAAUGUAAAUGUGUUAUUUGUAUGUGCAUCCCCUUGUGAUAGUGGAAAUUCUGAUCUCGUAUUGUUACCAAAUGGAUAACGGAUACAUCCGUUCAAUAUAAAAAAAAAUUUUAAAACUUUAAUAACUUCAAUCUAGUUAUUGUGAUGGGGUAAAUUGAGAAUAGAGAAUACCCACUGAGGGGUUACGAAUGUCUUGAUUUGACCGAAAACUUGCAGAACAUUUUUGGUGGUGAUUCUGAAGGAUAAAAGAUGGCUUAAGAAAAACUAUGGGAUAAAAUGGAUCUAGAGGGAUUUUGAGGAAAAAUGAGUCUAAGAGCUUUUGAUGGAUAAUACCUAAGUUUAGGGGGAGUUUAAGAGAUGAGAUAGGAAAUUGAUUACAUUUGCAGUU